AAACUGUUUGCCUUUUGUGGAACAGCUAGCAAAAAAAGUGAUUUACCUUGAUGCUUUGCUAAGAGUAAAAAGGGUUUCAGCCAGCUUUACUGUCCUUCCUUGUUAAUGUAAAAAAUUGAUAAGUAUUCACUGUGGUUGCUAGGUGAUGGGUAUAAGUUGAACCUGUGGGUUCCAGACUUAGAAUGCACUUUGAACAAUGCAUAGCCUUGUCUUGCAGCUGGGAAAGGUUGCCUAGGUGACUAGAUAGAUAACACAGCUGGCUCACAGGCCUCUUCGUGGGUAACACUCCUCCAAGCCAUUUGUUUGCUUCUGUCAGUAUGGAGAAGUGAUCUCUUCUGCAGACAAUGGGGAGCUCAAAAUCAAAACCACUUACUGCUUUGGAACAUAUUCUUUAACACUGGCAACAUUUGUACCCUGACAUAUUGAGGAAAAGCAGCUUGGUAUUCUUCUGUAACCACAAAUAGUCUGCCUACCCUCCACAGCCAAAAUGGAAUACGGAGAGAAGUAUCGAUUAUGACGCUGUUUCACAACUAGAAUCAUUCUGUAA
RNAcentral lists this long non-coding RNA (547 nucleotides) under Fukomys damarensis (Damara mole-rat). RNAcentral describes it as "lncRNA (ENSFDAG00000025648.1)". Lineage: Eukaryota; Metazoa; Chordata; Mammalia; Rodentia; Bathyergidae. The record is from RNAcentral.